UACGGGGGGGGCAAGCGUUGUUCGGAAUUACUGGGCGUAAAGGGUUCGUAGGUGGCGUGCUAAGUCAGACGUGAAAUCCCUCAGCUUAACUGGGGAACUGCGUCUGAGACUGGCAGGCUUGAGGACAGGAGAGGAACGCGGAAUUCCAGGUGUAGCGGUGAAAUGCGUAGAUAUCUGGAGGAACACCGGUGGCGAAGGCGGCGUUCUGGACUGUUUCUGACACUGAGGAACGAAAGCCAGGGGAGCAAACGGG
RNAcentral lists this ribosomal RNA (253 nucleotides) under uncultured bacterium. Its description in RNAcentral is "partial 16S ribosomal RNA". It matches the Rfam family "Bacterial small subunit ribosomal RNA", at positions 524 to 776 of the family's 1533-position model. The record is from RNAcentral.